Non-coding RNA from Heligmosomoides polygyrus, 72 nucleotides. NCBI's taxonomy places the organism in Eukaryota, Metazoa, Nematoda, Chromadorea, Rhabditida, Heligmosomidae. The record is from Rfam.
GCGCCGGUGGUGUGAGGCGAACAUCGCUGCCCGGAAAUCAGAAGAUGCGGGUUCGAGUCCCGCCCUGGCGCA